GACGAACGCUGGCGGCGUGCUUAACACAUGCAAGUCGAACGGGCUAAUCUGAGAUCUUGCUCUUAGAGAAUCUAGUGGCAAACGGGUGAGUAACACGUAGACAACCUCCCAACAGGAUUGGUACAACAUUCCGAAAGGACUGCUAAGACCGAAUGAAGCGGCGGAUAGACAUCCCUCCUCCUUGAAAGAUGGCCUCUUAAUAUGCUAUCACCUGUCGAUGGGUCUGCGUCUGAUUAGUUAGUUGGUGAGGUGACGCCUCAACAAGGCGACGAGCAGUAGCCGGUCAGAAAGGAUAAGAGCACACGUUGGGCCGGAGACACGGCCCGCACUAUUACGAGAGGCAGACGUGGGGAAUCCUCCGCGAUGGGAGCAAGCGUGAAGGAGGAACACCGCGUGAGAGACGGAGGUAUUCAGAUCGUAUGGCUCUGUUGACGGGGAGGAACGUACGAAGCUUGCAUAAGCCUUGGUAAUGACGGUACCUGUCGAGGAAGCCACGGCUAACUACGUG
This 508-nucleotide ribosomal RNA is filed under the name uncultured bacterium. RNAcentral's name for it is "partial 16S ribosomal RNA". It matches the Rfam family "Bacterial small subunit ribosomal RNA", at positions 28 to 507 of the family's 1533-position model. The record is from RNAcentral.